This 473-nucleotide ribosomal RNA is filed under the name uncultured bacterium. Its description in RNAcentral is "partial 16S ribosomal RNA". It matches the Rfam family "Bacterial small subunit ribosomal RNA", at positions 28 to 507 of the family's 1533-position model. The record is from RNAcentral.
GAUGAACGCUAGCGGCAGGCCUAAUACAUGCAAGUCGAACGGGUGGUCGCAAGACCACUAGUGGCGCACGGGUGCGUAACGCGUAACCAACCUGCCCCGAUCUGGGGGAUAGCCCGCCGAAAGGCGGAUUAAUACCGCAUAUACCCGCAGCCUGGCAUCAGGCAACGGGGAAAGAUUUAUUGGAUCGGGAUGGGGUUGCGUGACAUUAGCUAGUUGGCGGGGUAAGGGCCCACCAAGGCGACGAUGUCUAGGGGACCUGAGAGUGUGAUCCCCCACACUGGCACUGAGAUACGGGCCAGACUCCUACGGGAGGCAGCAGUAGGGAAUAUUGGGCAAUGGGCGAGAGCCUGACCCAGCCAUGCCGCGUGCCGGAUGAAGGCCUUCUGGGUUGUAAACGGCUUUUCUCAGGGAAGAAAAAGACCUUGCGAGGUACACUGACGGUACCUGAGGAAUAAGCACCGGCUAACUCCGUG